UCUUUCUUGGUCUAGCCUCGACUAACCUUCGGGGUAAGGGUCGUUCUGGUCGGGUCUCGAGGGUGGACUCCGUUGGAGGCCGUCGCACUUGCAAGGCUAGAGCUUUCAAAGUAAGAGCUCGAUUUGCGAGCGAAGCACGCAUCGAGGGUUCACUUCACCAUUGUUCCAGACAUUGAUGUUAGACGCAACAUCGGCAAGGAAGCAUAGUCAAUCUAUGAUAUCACUAUCGCUCCAUCUAUCCUAUUCAGGUGGUGAAGAAAAAGCUUUGGUGAGAAUUGAGGUUCAGCGGCAUCGCAAAUCAUUGAUGUCAAUCACUGAAGACAAGCCUAUUUGAGUAAAAUAGCUGCAGUUUUGUCAUGCUUUAAGGUUUUGAUUAUUCUUUAAUUUACUUAUCACUAAGAGGUUAAUAUAAGAUUAAGUGCUUCAACUAUGGAGUUUUUUUUGCAAUUUCUAUCUCAAAAUUAUACCAGAUUAGUAGAUGGCAAUUAUUUCGGAUGAAUAACAAUAUAACUCAACUAAUUCAUACCAAUUCAACAUAAUAAUCUACGAGUACACUUUUUUGCUUUCAUUCCUUGUUGAGAACUUCAGUGUAGAACUUCGGUUGAAGUUAUUCUUUGCUGAGAACUUCAUAAUAUUCUGCGAGUACACUUUUUUGCUUUCAUUCCUUUUACUCUGCUUCUCCUAGUUAAAACUUCAACCUGUGAAAUUUUUCUAAGUACCAAGCUUCGGCUUGGAACUGGCUAGCUGAGUGGCUCUUGCCCCCCUUAGAAAUCUGAAGAUAGAGUCUUCAGGUUUUUGAGGAGAUUGUUUCAACUUUCUUAUAUAGCCGAGGUUUUUGCCUUGGCGAAAUUUUUGUGAUAAUUCAGAUUAUUGGGUUUCUGCUCAUUUUUAUUUUCUCUUCUAUUUUGUUUUAAAAAAGGUCUGAUUUCUUGCUUAAGAGCCGUAAACUCUGAGAUUAAUACUCUUGUGAUCCUUUUAAUUCAUCCGAGGGAACGACUAUGCGGAACACGAUGCAGGGGCAAUGAUCUAUCCGAAGUACAAUGCUUCACUAGGCAGUACUUUGGAUAUGUAAUCAUCACCCGGAAUUGAUUCAUCCGAAGUAUAAUGCUUCAUUAGGCAAUACUUUGGGGCUUUAUCAGUUCUAAUUUUUAAGCAGUGUUUCGGAUGCGCCUAUGGCCUCUUUGCCCGAAGGAAUUGAUUCAUCCAAAGUACAAGGCCUCACUAGGCAAUACUUCAUGGAUUUGUCAUUUGUCCUUGUCUUGGCAGGUUUUACGGUUUGCCGAAGUACCAUGCAUCACUAUGCAAUACUUCAGGCAACACCGAAUGAAAACCUUGAAUUUUUCAAAAACCAUUGAAGACAGAAAAAAUAGAAACUUCAUUGAAUUUGGAUAAAACGGUGGCUCAAAGGCCUUUCAUUAAUGUAAGGAAGUGUACUUACAUAAACUGCUUUUCCCCGAAGGGCUUUACACAUGGUAUCUCUUAAGUACAUCAGCAUUCCAGUGAUUUUUCAGCUCAGUACCAUCUAACUGCCGA
Molecule: long non-coding RNA, 1533 nt
Organism: Chenopodium quinoa (quinoa)
Lineage: Eukaryota; Viridiplantae; Streptophyta; Magnoliopsida; Caryophyllales; Amaranthaceae
Exons: 3
Source: RefSeq, a predicted model, not a curated record